AGAUUUUCCACCUGAGUUUGUUUUUCAUUUUUGAGGGAAAUCAGCACGGGUGCUGAGUGCUGCCUCAGCACCAAAUGAAUACUGGUAUGAACCCCAGGACAAAGUCAAAGGUUAUACUCGUCUGCAAUGCAGCUGCAAAUCUGCCUUGAUUCUCAGCGUGAGGAGAAUGGAUGCUGUUUAUGACACUGUGGCCCUGACAUGUGGCAGUCCUUGGGGACCUGCAGGCAGGGUGCCAUGUCCUCUGGAAUCCCCAGAGGCCUGAAGACAUGCUGCAUGUUCCUGCAGAAGUGCUCCUGGCUCUCCUUGUGAAACACCUUAUCUCUUGACCCCAAAGCCCAUCUGCUUGAGCCCCAAAUGUCUCACUGAGCUUAGCAUGGAAACAUGCUCCUCAGUUGUCUGCUUAUGGCCCCUGUCCCUCUCUUAGACCCUAGACAGUGACCUGCUACCUCCCGUGUCUUCCUGGUUAGCUGCUCCUUCUCCGGCCUUCCCUUCUCCCCUUCCAUCCACUUUCCUCCCCAGGGAGCUUACAGUUUCCCUUUGAAGUCCUCACUAAACACAGAUGAGGACUCUUCAAAGAACUGCACCGACCAACUCUAUGUUCUUCCGAACUGCAUUGCAGGCAGCUAUUAAUAGGAGCAACAAAAAAGGGGAGGUUCACUAGGCAAAUAAAUUUGGGAAACAGUGCAUAUUAGAUGCUCUUCUUGGAGAUUUAACUAGUCACUAUCAAGCAUGUUGAAAGUUCAGGGAAGAAUCUAUUUAACCUAAUAUAACCCAGUGUUUCCUAAAUUGGGCAUUAUAUUGGGCAUUGAACACUCUGACCAUCCCUCCCCCACCUCACACACACACAUUAGCAGUAUGCAGAUUGCAUUCUUGGGUGAUACACACUUAGAGUACAAUAAAAUAAAUUGAUAUAAACCAAUUCUGAACAUAAUUCAAUAUUGCUUUGAGGAUUCAUGAGAUGCUGGCAUUUAUCUUUUGAUCUCUGGACAAAUGGAAAUUAAGCAUACUCCAAAUGAUAUUUAAAAUACACUAAAGACAUUUAGCCUUACCUAGCGCUAGGCACAUUGUAAAUACUCAGUAUAUACUUGUGGAAUUACUGAAUUUAUGGAAAUCCUUUGGGCCUCAGUUUCAUCUACUUAGAGGAACUGGAUUAGUUGGUCUCUGACAUCACUUAAUA
This 1177-nucleotide long non-coding RNA is filed under the name Homo sapiens (human). Its description in RNAcentral is "HSALNT0303325". Lineage: Eukaryota; Metazoa; Chordata; Mammalia; Primates; Hominidae. The record is from RNAcentral.